Molecule: ribosomal RNA, 492 nt
Filed under: uncultured bacterium
Lineage: Bacteria
Description: bacterial SSU rRNA
Rfam family: Bacterial small subunit ribosomal RNA
Source: RNAcentral
GACGAACGCUGGCGGCGUGCCUAACACAUGCAAGUCGAACGGAGUGUUACGCUGAAUUGAAGGUAGCUUGCUACCGGAUUUUCUUGUGACACUUAGUGGCGGACGGGUGAGUAACGCGUGAGCAACCUGCCUUUCAGAGGGGGACAACAGUUGGAAACGACUGCUAAUACCGCAUGACAUGUGACUGUGGCAUCACAGACACAUCAAAGAUUUAUCGCUGAAAGAUGGGCUCGCGUUGGAUUAGAUAGUUGGUGAGGUAACGGCUCACCAAGUCGACGAUCCAUAGCCGGACUGAGAGGUUGAACGGCCACAUUGGGACUGAGACAGGCCCAAACUCCUACGGGAGGCAGCAGUAGGGAAUUUUGCGCAAUGGCGAAAGCCUGAGCAGCAACGCCGCGUGAAUGUUAAACCCUUCGGGGUGUAAAGUUCUGUCAGUGGGACGAAACUUGACGGUACCCACAGAGGAAGCACCGGUCUAAAAUACGUAGCCAG